RNAcentral lists this long non-coding RNA (6691 nucleotides) under Canis lupus familiaris (dog). Its description in RNAcentral is "lncRNA (ENSCAFG00845000985.1)". The record is from RNAcentral. Lineage: Eukaryota; Metazoa; Chordata; Mammalia; Carnivora; Canidae.
UUUUUUUUUUUUUUUUAAAGAAAUUGAGACAGCAACAAAAGUGUUCCUUAGGACAUACUGCUUGUAGGAGGUUGAGCUGAGAUUUUUGCCUCCAGGUGUUCCGUCUUUACCCUGAACUAUGGCCAACCAGUACAUACUGAUGGGAACCUGAUGAGGGCAGCUGGGCAUUCUUGACUUAGUUUACUACUUUUAUUUUGGCAAGUCAGAAUAUCAUACGUAGUGUACUGCUUUAGCACACAUGUGAGUAACUCUUGUUAAAUGAGACACAUAGAUCAUUUUAAUAACACAGAAUUGAAAAACAGGAAACAUACUUGUCUUAUAUAACUCAAGCCUCAGACAUAAGGGAAUUUCAGACUGGAGUACCUCAUACCCUGGAGGUGACACCUGCAACUCAGACGUGGUAAUGAGCCAGUUAAGUCAAGUUACAAAAUUACAAGGUUCUGGAAUUUUCAAGUGUGAGGUCAGAGAAUCUUCUGUCAUGGAGGAAAUCUGUAGAGUCUCAGACAGUAAUGAAGAAGAGGAGAGAAUUUGGAAUUUGGAGGAAUGAUAGAAAGACGAAGUAUAGUUGUGACCAGAGACCGUAGGUCCUAACAAUGGUGAGUGCAUAUCUCACCCUUUGUUCCACAGAGCUAGCUACCAUUUAAACCUCAUUCUCAAUCCUAUCUACUCUGACUUCUGUCUGUGGAACUCCAUCUGGUGUUUGGAUUAUUAUCAGCCUGGGAAAUAUUUUCUGUGGGAUUUCAUAUUUGAUUUCAAUUAUGUUUGAUGGGAUUGGAUUUUAAAUUUAGUAGAAAAAUGUUAUGUGUAUGUAUAUGGAGGCAAGUUUGUUAAAAUAUACGUAUUUCAAAAUGAAUCUACAGCAUAAUGCGGAAAUACUUUCACUUCUGUUUAAAAUCUUUGGGUGAAUAUAGGGUUUUCUUUGCAGAUGUUGGGAAAAAUACUCAAUCAUUUGUUAAUCCGGGGUCUUUGGCAAAUCUGUUUUGUGCCGCGGUGAUAUCCAUAGCUUUUUUGGGUGUUGGCUUAGGAGCAAAUGCAUUGGCAUAAAACCAUCCUUCAGCAACUUUUGUUAACACCUUUAGCCUCUGUGUCAAAAAACAUUUCACAGUACUAUGAAGUAUAUUCAAAUACUAGUUUUAAUUUUUCAUGUUAUGAUUUUAUUAAAUAUACUUUUUUGACCCAAUAUGUAGUAACAGUGAUAAAAGAUUAUGGUACUCCAAAAGGAAACCAUUCAUUUUCUUACAACCAAUUAUAUUGUCAUGGAUUAGUCUUAAGGUAUUGAUUCCAUUUUUAAGGAAGCCAGAUGCUAUAAAUCUUGUAAAGGUGCUGUGAAUACUUAGUUGUCAGAGAGCAAUGCACCCUGGAUUUUCUCUGUCCUGGACAUGCAGCAAGUAUCCUAUUGGCUUAGUUCAUUGUGGUAUAAAGUCAUCAGUAAAUUUGGGAAAGCCACAAACAGAAAGAGUAUGGGCAGGAACUGGGCAGCAUAGGAGAACAGUGAUGAUAAUCUAUUGGCCUCGUUCUUUCCGAGUGUGGUCAUGGGGAUGGCAUCUUUGAAAUCUCAUAGCAUUGCUUCAGUGUUCCCUAUGUGGAAAAGCAGUGCAGAUCUGUUCAUAAAUAAGUAUUCUAUCUCCUACCUCACAGGGUUCUGCAGCGUAGAGUUACCUGAUAAGUCCAUGCUGCAGUUACAGGACCUACAGUUCUUAUCUCGAUAGUAGAACAAUUAGUGCAUCUGCUGCAAUGUCGAAAGGAAAGAAAUGCAGGUAAAAUGUCCCCAAAUUAAAAAAAAAAAAAAAAAAACUCUGGAGUGACCAUAACAAAGCAAAUUCUCACAACUCAAGGAGUUUUGAUAAAUGUGUUUAGGAGUGUUAGAAAUGUGGCAGCCACAGGGAAACGUGUAGCUUAGAAAGAACAACUGUAAAAGUUUUAGAUGCCAGAAUCACAAGUUGGAAUGGAAGAAAUGAUUUUGCUAUUUGGUCCUUUGAGAAGGCCCAUUGCUCCUUUUGGCAGAAAUUCCCAGACAUUCAGGCUGUUCUGAUCAUUUAUUUCCCUCCUGCUUCAGGUAGUGAAGUGCCAGUGGAUUGGGGAGUAAAGAUGUGGGGGUAAGAGAAAUUAUGUAAAUGUUGUGUGCCGGCAAGACAAAUUUCAAUCCCUUGAGGUCUUUUAAAUGGUAUUAAUUCUAGAAAUAAGACACAAAAUUUAACCUUUUCAUGCUAAUAAUGAUUUCAUAAAGAAAAACUCGUUAGUAAAGGUGACAAAUAUGAAGUUCUAUUGAACAUUUAAAUUCCAGAAUCUCAGUGAAUGCCCCAGGGAGAUAUUUACCCAGCCAAUGACUUUCUGAUGUUAUUAAGAAGUAAUUUAUUCAAGAAAGUCUCCAUUCAUGAGUUUACAUAAGAACAAUAUCUACUUUACAAAGGCUUGUGUUCUCAAUAUAGCACAUACCUAAUUUACAAUGACUUUUGGUUAAAAUUUUCAUUAGGUUGGUUCAAUAGUAUUUGAUAAUUUUAAUUUAGUUUUAUGAGAUCCCAGGUUCCCAUUUAUAGGAAGAGAAAAUGAAUGCAGAGGAAAUAAAUUUUUAAAGAGCAAAUUUAUCUCUCAAAUGAGCUCUGCUAAUUUCAGCAGUAAAUCUCAGGUGGAGGAAAGUUAACCUUUAGUAUUUCUAUGGCAGUCCUUUUGGGCAUAGACUAUGGGCAUCCAUUAAAAAACAGCUCAGACUCACAGCAUCAGUGCUUUGCAACUAUGCCGAUAUGCAUAGAGAUUCUACGACUCUCUUCUGUGAAAUGCUGAAAUGGAAAAGGAGCCCCAGGGUUUAAGCAUAGGAUGUUUUCAUGGGUCCAAGCACAGGAAAGGAACAGUGGUCCUCAAGCAUAAAUCAGGCCCAUGAAAACAUAACCAAAAUAGAUGAAAAGUGAAUGCUACAGGUUUCUGAAACAAGGGUUAAGGAGUAUACAAUUACGAGAGGUCAGGAAUUUAGGUAGGACAGCCAUGAUUCAGGCUUUAGUCAAGAAAGUGAAAUCAGGGCAGACUCAGAGUCCCGAAUGGAGGAUGAGAAAGCCACGUCAUGGAGCCUGCCUGUCAUCGGAGGUGGACCAGCCCUAACAAUGUGAUGCAGAAUUUGCCUGCUUGAUUGGAGAAGGGAUGAGUUAGCAAGAGGUUGUGGUAUGUGUGUACAAGUGUGUGCACGCAUGCAUGGGCUUACACAUACACACACACACACACACACACACACACACAGAAAGUUAAGGUUUUUUAGCAACUAAGUUUUCAGUUAAAGCUAUCUGAUACAGACUUCAUGGGGAUAACUCCAAACUCUUUUCCAGUUAAUCUGCAAAUAGUUUAGGGCAAUGAAAAGUGAAACACCCCCCACCCCCAUCUUAUCAACAAAUUGAAUGAAUAUACUAUUUGCCACCAAGGAAGCAAGUCUAACCUCUCACAAUAUUGUCCCAUAUUGACAGAUGGAUUGUAGAUAAAAUUCUCUGUCAUAUCAUUCAGCAGGGUACUGAAAAUGUAGCUAUGGGUCUUUUGUGGGUGCCAAAGACCACAGAAGGCAAUCUAGUCCCUGCCCCACACUACCUUUCUGAACUGGCCUCUUUCCUCCCUCUCUUCAGUAAGGAAGAGGAUAGCUAAGCAAUUAUUCAACGAGUUUGAUCAACAUAGAAAACCAACCUAGACCAUUCAUUCACCUUCUGCAUGUCAGCUUCUGUUUACUGAAGGCUCACUUGUGCAAAUGUCUGUGGUCUAUUAGGAUGUUUCCUAGCCAUAUUUGGAACAGCCUUCUGGUUUCAUCAGUAGGCAUCCUGGGCUAUAAAAUCAACCUCAGAUCAAGUAAAGAUUCAAAUGAACAUCAACUAGUUUUUUUAGGUCUUGAUCCUUGAGGCAGCAUAUAAAACCACUGAAACCAAAGUCAAGAGCCCUGUGUGAUAGUUGUAUAUGGACUAUCCAAUCUGUCUAAAAUACAUUCUGCUAGAGUUAGCAGUGAAUCUACAGAAUAUAUUAUGUGUGAUUGUCAUUGUCAUUAUAAGUUACAACUCUGUAUUUUAUGGUAUAUAAUGAAAUGAGAUGAUAAAAGUGACAUCAAGCUUUGGAUUCCAGUGUCUAAAUCACCCGUUUUAUUCAUCGUUUGGCAGCUAAAUGUCUUUUAAAUACUGUGCAACGUUUUAUGAUUUAAUGUUUGCCUAAAGAAUGGAAAGCUGCAUUACUAAGUAGAAUCAGACCGUACCACAUAAAACCACCAGAAGACAGGUGUUUAAUCUAGUUUCUUUUGGCCUCUGAGAAGAAGAGUACAGGAUCCAUCUAUCUCCAGACACCCCAUUCUCCAAGGUUCAUCAAAUUCAUGCUCUUCACCAAGCAAAUUAAGAGUUUACCUGCUUUCCACUACUACAUUUAACUUGUUCUAAAAAUCCCUUCAAGCUCAUCUUUUCUACUAAGAAAUUGAUAUUUUGGUCUCUGGUGGUCAUUUGUGUUUAGCCUUCUGUCUUUGUUGGCUUUGCUGUGACCAAAGAGAAUUCAUCAUUAGGUAAGAAUCUUAAUUCCCAGUAGUUAAGAGUUCAGUGAAGUAGCUUCCAGUGCUAUGAAUAUUAGGUACCUGCUAGUUUUCUUGAAGACUCCAAAGCCUAUGCGCCUUGUUUCUCUGAUUUAGAAGCUUCAAAUCAGGACAUUGUAUUCCUGUGAUGGGAGGUGGCCUAAUUUGACAAGGCACUCAUGAUUUGUGAUUUUUAUUUUAUUGAACCCUCUGUCAAUAGAAAGAGCUCUCCAUCCCUCUCCCCGCCAUCAUUCAUAUUCCUGAUAAGAAUGGUAAGAAACAGCUGCAGCCAUUCCAAACUCACUUUGUUUUGACUCUAAAUCCAAUAAAUAAUCAUGGUCAACCCUCACAUUAACAGAGGAGCAACCCACUUUGUAUUGAGACCUCCAUGAAGUGAGGGGGUCUAUGACAGUCCUAUUACUCCCUAGAAUGUCCACCCAUCUGUUGGCUCAUAUUAAAAUGAUCCCAAUUCUCUAUUACCAAUGCUUCCUCCAUUCAUCCCAAGGCAUGAAUUCCAGGCAAUAUGUGAAAAUUGUAACACAGAUAAGUCCCCAAGAUGUUAUUAAUCAUUCCUCUAGGUGCAGGAAUUUUGCAAGUUUUUUAUUCUUUUUUUGUAGAAUAGGAGGCCAUGACAGUAGAAAUUUUAAAGAGAGGUGGAGAAAGGGGAUCAAGAAAGAGGGAGAUGGAUAAGAAACUGAAAAUUCAGGGACUCGGGAGACACUCUUGCCUAACGGCCUUUGCCUUUGGCUCUCUUAACAAAACUCUAGGGUUUGACAGGCUCUAAAUUGUUUCUUGUCACCCUCUCAAUUAGAGAGGCUAAUCCUAAUAUUAAUGAACACUGCUGAGCAAUAAAAUGUAAAAUAUCUUUCCUCUCAAAACCAAGAAAUCAUAUAUGAUCCAGAUCACAACUACAAUCCAUGCAAUGCAUAUGUAUUUUAAGAUUAAGUAACUUUUCCUUUCCCAUCUGUGCUCUAAAUCUGUGCCAUAUGUCACCUAACAAGGUAUUUUCCAUUAUUCUUUUAUUCAGUUCACUGCAUUUUGUUCCUCUUGUCCCUUGAAAAUUAGCCUGUCUGUAAUCAGAAAUCACUUCCAUUCACAGUUCAGUGCAUCUACUGUAGAUGUGGCAAAUGCUUGUUUACAGAGCUGGUAAUUGGAUUAAAACAUUGAAAAGAAACAGAAAAAUGGAAUGUAUUGAAAAAAUAAAAAACACAAGCAUAAAAUCAACAAAACCAAAACAAAUUAAAAAGCUCUAAUGAAUAAAAUUGCUAUUAAUGGAAAUCAUUUAUCAGUACAAUGUUCCUGAGUUUGCAGUCCUCAAUAUUCAAUUGAAAUGAUAUUUAAAAACCUAUAAGAGAAAAAGGAAAAGGAUUCUGAAUAGCUUUUCUGCGAGCAUGACUUGAAAUCGUUGAUUAGUUUCUGUGUAUCUUCUGGGCUGUUGUGAGAAAUGGUCAGUCCAAAAAUCUUUACCAGGUCUCGAUACAGAAAUACCACAGUCAGGAAAGCACUGCUGUGUUAAGUUAUUUAAGGAAAAUUAAUUAUUCUUUCAAAUUUGGUAUUAUUAUUUUGAUACUUAAAAACACAGAAAAGAAAAAGUAUGUAUGACGUCUUUCCACACGGCCUUGCUGAGUGGUAUGAACAGGUGAUUGUGACGCUGACAGCAUUGGGCAUAGUGUGCCAUUUUGUCAAUUCAAGAGUGAUGGGGUUGGUAUAUAGUUGACAGUUUGCAACCUAAAAACUAAACCCAUAGGCCUAAUUUUCUGAACAUCCUUCCAAUAACCUUAUUCAAAAUAUUUUUUUUAAAGAAGCCAAUGUUUUAGGAAAACAAAACAACUUGCAAUCAAAUAAACCAAGAGUAGUACAGGAAUGUGAAAUCAAUUAGUCAUACAGGAAUGCCAAUAUCCAACAACAGGUAAACUUUGAUAUAAAUGGGAUCCAAAGAGACACAGGAUCAGAUUCAACAGUAAACAAAACCCAGAAGAGAAAAAUCCAAAGAGAUACAACAGAACCAUUCACAUAUCAGAAAGCAUAAAGCAAAAAUCAAAUAAUCAAAUCCAUGUGAUUAAAGUACCACCACUACCUUUAGUAGGUGUCUUCAGGUAGUUCAUCUUAAGCCUACAGAAGAGAAGAGCUCUUACCUGCUUGGCUGGAUCACUUCUUUCUUUAGUUCUGUAGACC